RNAcentral lists this long non-coding RNA (6336 nucleotides) under Cucumis sativus (cucumber). RNAcentral describes it as "long non-coding RNA (CSAT_LNC002220)". Lineage: Eukaryota; Viridiplantae; Streptophyta; Magnoliopsida; Cucurbitales; Cucurbitaceae. The record is from RNAcentral.
AAAAUUUCGUGGCUCACCUGAGGGUUUCCAAUGUCAUUGGCAUUGAACUGCAGAUAUGGGGAAUUACGAUACGUAUAGGUAGCGAGAAACUUGUCAUUGUUCUUAAAGGAGAGGUAUUUAGGGAGUCGGAUGAUGUUUUCAAAGUCGACUAGCACAACUAAUUUGUCGUCGUGUCGUUUUUCAUCGCGUCUAUAUCUAGUUGUGAGAACAUCAGGAUGAAUUCUGCUACUGGUACAUCGACGUGCAUAGGUUUGAAGCAAGACAUCAAAUAAAUAGUAAGUCCCUGUAGUAGGACCAGGGAUGAAAUUAAACAAUGUGCAUGGCCAUGAGGAUUCAUUUUCACUCGGCUUGCUAACGAAGGGAGUAACGAAGCGAUUGUGGUCGUUGGAAGAGGCCAAGUACUUGUCGUUGUAGCAACAUUUUAUGUGCCAAUAUUUACCAUCCUUGUCGGGCACAAUCUCAAACUUUGUAAAUGGGGUCAAAGCUUGAUCGGAAGAGUAUUGUAGGUUACCCCUAAGAAAACCAUCAGAAAGGUAUUGAAGGUACUUUCCUUCUACGUGGUUCUGGAAUCCUGCAUAUUUGGGGAGAAACGACAUUGUUAACGGAGAGAGAUGGUAAAUAUGAGUUUUCUUCUUCUCAAUUACACACUUCUCAAGGUGGUGAGGAACUGAUGCCCAGUCCCCAAACCUCUUCUCUUUAUAUACAUAUAUGGAUAACUAAUAUUAAUUAUUAUAUUUUGCAUGAAUGGGACGAUACAUCGCUUAUAUGGAUAAAUCAGAAUAUAUACUUACUUCACUUUUUUGUUUGUUGACUAGAUAAUCUCAACUUUUUACUUUGUGUCAUUCAUAAAUAUCUCUAAAGUACCGUAAAAAAGUUCAAAAAAAUAAUCUUGCUGCUUUUUAGUGUGUCCAAAAGUUUUCGAUUUUUUUAGUUGUAGUAUUUCUUCUAUACCGCUUAGUUUUUUAGUUGUAGUAUUACUUCUAUACCGCUUAGUUACUUACGUGUGUUUUUAUAAUCUGUGCAUAACUUUUCGAGUUUCUUUCUAGCAUGUUUUGUACUUUUCCAUUGAUUAUUGAUAUCGUAUUUGGUCUUAAGAUGGAAUGAAGGGUGUUAUAGAGAUGUUAACCGAGUUGAAAUAUCUUGGUAUAUUCCAUGAUCCCUCUCUCUAGUUGGAUACUAAGUGCAUUGUAGUACAAUUUAAAAAGAUAACUUAAAUAUAAAUGGUUAAUAAAAUAACUCGUGAAAUUAAAAAAAAAUCAUUAAAAAAAUGAGUUAUUUAUAAAAGAAAAUUAAAAAGAAUCUUUUGAAUAAAAUAAUAACAAGAUUUGAAAUCAAAAUAUUUGUGUACUAUUAUAUGUUAAAUAUAUUAUCACAUAUUAAAUAAAAUAUAAUAUUUUAUGAUAGCAAAUUAAGUAUGAUUAAGUGUUUGUAUUUACAUCUAUGGAUAUAACUAUUAUUUUGGAAAGUUAGUGUAAUACGUAAUUAAGGGUGGAGGGAUAGUUUGAACCCACGGGGAUACACGUUCCUGUAUUAUUGUUAUUGUUAUUAAUUUAAAUAAGUCAAUCAACUAGCAAUGGAAUAAUUAAGAUCAAAAGGAAAUGAUGAAAGAAGGAUAAAGGCAUCCAUCAACUCAAUAAACUUAAAAGAAAUGCUCGUAUAAAAAGUUAAAGUCAUUAAACAGUGUGGAAUAUGAUUGAUUCGUAUAGAGUUGAUGGAUGCAAAGAUAUAGAGAACCAAUCAGCUUAUCUAUAGGUUUUGAUGGUUACACACUGCAAAAUUAAUUUUCACUAACCAAAAUGUUGCAAAUUUUUAAGUAUUAGAAAUAUAUUAUUAUAUACUUUUAAGUUUAUUCAUUUUGUAGUUGGAGAGAAUGGAAAAAAAAAAGUGAGUAGUCAAUAAAGUUUUGGGAGAUUUUUUUUUUAAUUACUGUGUUUUUGUUAGCUUUUUGUUUUCUAUUUUUUGUUUUUCUUUCAGUUAUUAUAUCGUUAAUUUUUUUUGAAAUAUACAAAAAAAAAAAAAAAACUAAAAUAUUUACAAAAUCAAAUUAAAAAGUCCAUGAACCCAACCGUAUAUUUCUUUUAUAAAAUAUUUCAUGUUUGUCUAGCCACUUUCAUUCUACUUUUCUAUCUUCUCUUCGGAUCUAUGUUUCCAAUCAAUCAUAAAUUUUGUAUUUUUUUUUCCAAAGUGUUAUUUGAUUCAAGAUCGUGUACCAAGGUACACAAUCUUGAACAAAAAUCUUUGAGAUAUUGGUACAUGAUAACUUAGAUUUAGCUACACGAUCGUGUAACAAAUCUAAAAGAUAUUGGUACAAGAUCGUGUGCCAAAUAUAAAAUAUAUUGAAAAAAAUCGUUCGAAUAUUGGUGUCGUCACGUGCACGAGACGACACAGAGAGACCGACAUCCUAACAAUGUGUUAGUUUUAAAACAAAAUAAAAAAAAAAAAAAGUUGCCACCAAUUUUUUUUACGAGGUGAUUGAACACCAAAAUAAAAUAAACAAAAUUUAAAUAAAAUCAUAAAAAAAUGGUUGACAAACAUUAGACUUGAGUUUGUGAGUCAAUUGUGCAUGAGGAAAGUGUCACACCCAAAACACCCAUUCAGAAAACGGUGGCAAAAUUGUAAAUAUUGAAUUGAAAAUAUUCUUUAAUUUCUUUUAAAAUUAAUAUCUUAUUUUACCCCCGACUACUCUCAUAUUUGAAGUAACGAUCUCAUAAAAUAAGUGGAAAGCAUUCCACCACACUAUAUUCAUGAAAAAAAAUUUCUCAUCCUCAAAAAUUAGUACAAUUUCUCAAAAUCUAUCCUAGGCAUUGUCUUCUAAUUAUAAAGUGAUUUUUUUCUAGGACAUUAAUUAAAAGUAAUUUUUCUUGGAUCAAAUCUCGAACUCCCAAAAAUUCCAAGAGUUUUAUGAUUUUGUUUAAGAAAAACGGUAUAAGUUAUUAUAAAAGAUUGAUUAGAAAAUUUUAUGAAAUCACAAAUUAAAUUUUGAAGGUUCGAACAACAUAAAAAAAAAAUGAUAACUUGAAAAGAUUUUUUUUUUUCUAAAAUCACUUUUAGAAAAAGAGUUUUGUGAAAGAUUUUUAAACCUAUAAAAAUUUAAAGUAGAAGGAUUUUAAAAUAUUGAAAAUUUUAAAUAGAAAGAUAUAUCAAUUUUGAAUGGAAAUGAAAAUGAGGCUUAAUAGAAAAAUUAGAUAAGUAAAAACAAAAGUAAAGAAACGUCAUAAUAAAUUAAGCAAACAUAUUAAAAUAGCUUAAUGAGAUUUUAGUAAAAACAUUGUUGAGCAAGAAAUUUCGGCCAAUUAAAUUCUGCCACAUCAUCCCAACAAAUAUUUGUCAAAUAAGUAGAUUAGCCAAGUCUAAGCUCAACAAGUAGAUGGGCCUAAGCCCAAUAAAGCAAAUGGGCCCAAGCUCAAGUUUAAGCUUAAGUCCAAGCCCAACAGCCCCACAAGCAAAUGAGUCCAAGCCCACCUAAAGCCCACAAAUUUUCUCUAUAAAUAGAAACCUUUGUCAUUCAUUUGAGAGGUCUUUUUUGUUGAAGGAAGAAUUGAAGCUCUGAAGUACUGAAAUUGUGAAGAAUUGAAGAUUCAAACUUCUAUAAAAAAUUGAAGAUUCAAACUUCUAUAAAAAAUUGAAGAUUCAAACUUCUAUAAAGCUCUCAAGACGUGCAAGUUCUUAUCAACUUCGAGAUCAUCAUCUUCUGAAAGAUUGAAGACUUGGAAGAUCAAACUUUCCUUGAAUUCCAGAAGAUUGAAGCUUAAAUAGACUUGCAACUACAACAUCCUAAAGACCGAAGAUCAAUAAAUUCUAAAUUUUUAACUUGUAUUCGAGAGAAAGCAUCAAAUGAGUAAAUACUAGAGAUUGUAUUUACAAUAUUCAUCAAUAUACAAAUUUCAAUUCCCCGAAAUACAUUUUUUCGAAAUCUCGUGUGAACAAACAUAUUGGAGAUCGACCUCAAACUUUCAAAUAAUCGAUUUUCUCAUCUCAAGAAUUCUAGAAAAACGAACUCUCUAAUUUUUUAGAUUCCAUCGUUGAGUGUUUUUUAAAAGAAAACUAAUUAAAAAUAUUAAAAUAUUAAACAGCGAAAAUGUAAAAUAAACAAUAAUCUAUAAAUAAAAUAAAAUAUAAUGCAAAACUAUUAGAAAAAGAAAGAAGAAAGUAAGAAUAAAUAAUGAUUAAAAAAAUUGAUAAACAAGGUAUGAAAUAACGUACAUCAACAAAUAAAUUUAUUAUAUAAAAAAGAAAAUGUAGAAAUAAGGUAAUAAAGAAAUAAUUAUAAGAGUAGAAAAAUGGAGAAAUAAGAAUUAGAAAAAUAAACAAAUAUGGAGAGAAAAAAUAAACGUAUAUAAAAAUAAGAAAAUAUUAAAAAAACAAUAAUCAACUUUAUGAAAAGAGAAUAAAAGAACUAGAUAUAAAAUGCUAAUUAAAAAGAAAUAAAUAUAAUAUAGAAAGAAGAAGAAGAUAUACAACAAAAUGUAUAAUAAAAAAAAUUAUAUAUAAAAGAGAAGUUCAAAAGAUAAUAUAAAAAAAAAUAGGAAAAUUAGAAAAACAAUAACUAAAAAAUACAAAAGAAAAAAUUAAAAAAAAAGAAUUAAAACAAUGAACCCUCUUGCUGUUUAAAGCGUAGAUUAUUGAGAAUUAAAUCAUACCAUACACAUCUAAUGAUUAAGUUAGAGAUUUUACUGUAUGUUGGUUUUUCGACACUUUUAGAAAAAUAUGAUAUUUAGGGGUUUGUUACGCGAGAAAACAAAAUAGAUGUUGUAGAUUUUUGUUUCUUAAAGAAGAGAUUAAGGGUAAGAGAAGUAGUGACUAUGAAAGUUAGAGGUUUUGAUGAAGAAGAGAGAACGGUACCGAUAUCUCUAGGGUUUUUUUUGUGUGACCUUCUCCAUUGGUGGUGUUUUUUUCAUGAAAGAAGAAUAAGAGAAUAUUUAUAUAUAGCAAAAAAUAAAAAAGCUUAUUCAAAAAGGCUAAAUAUUUCAAAAUUAUUUCUCCACGUAACUUAAUUAUGCUAAUUAAUUGAUUUAGUUAUUCUAAUGACCAAGCAACCACAUAACACAUAACUUUUAAAAUGAGAGGAUCUAAAUUUCUAUUAUAUCACACUGCAUUUGCUAAUACUUUUAAGUCUUACAGAGUGGCAUAGUAAUAAGAUAGAUAUUUUUAUUUAUUUCAAGCUUUAUCAAAGACAAGUGAUAAUAAAGCUACACACUCAAAAGUCAAAAGAAAAGUUAAGAAACACACAAGAUGACAUAGUGGACGAUGGAUACAGUGGUAAGCGGUAUGGUGAUGGUGAAUUAUUUAGAAUGAAGAGGGUAAGGCUUGUUUUGAUAAUCAAACUUAAAGGUAUAGACUCCAGUGUAAAGACCAUCAUCACACUCUAUCUCAACUCUUCUUCCGUUUCGGAGAAGAUCUCGUUGCGUGUACGAAAACGGAAUAUCACAUUUGGCCUUUGUUGCAAGAAGAGUAACUUUCAUCCUUGUGUUUGGUGGUACAGGAACAGUAUAUGUUGCCGUUACUUCUCUACUUUCUGAAAUAGUUUCUCCCCAUGUGUAAUUCGCUUCAAAAUUGUAGCUGACUUUAAUCUCAGCAUCUAAAAUUUCAGGAAUCCCAGCUUUAAUGGAAGUCUCUAUACCCACACCUACGGUGAGUGAAGAUUCCCAAGUUUUGGAUUUUUCUUCUAGGUACUUCAAACUUACAGCCAUAACCGUCUCCUUCGAGCUCGAGUUAACAGCCUCCUCCGUUGCCAUUGUUAGUACCUGUUCAUCGUAUAUCUUUGCAUCCAUAGUCCGGUACCGAAUAUUGUAGAUUUCCCUUGAAAUAAUUGGCUCAACGAUCUCCAAUUCUGCCUCUUUAGUGAUAGUUUCACUACUAGCGUUCAGAAAAUCCACCUUACCAUCACCAGUGUAUCUCGUAACGAACCUGCCAUUGGCAACGUUUCGAAGCGCGACUUUGUUUUUAGCAAUCUUGACUGGCCAGAACAAGGUGUUCUUAUCGUUCUUCGUCUGGUCGUUUGAGUCAGCCAGGAUCCAGUUUGGGUCACGUCUCCAAAACUUCUUCGUAGAUUCGUUCUUGAUUUUAACAGUUCCAUCGCCGACGUUGAAAAUUUCAUGGCUCACCUGAGGGUUUCCAAUGUCGUUGGCAUUGAACUGCAGAUAUGGGGAAUUACGAUACGUAUAGGCAGCGAGAAACUUGUCAUUGUUCUUAAAGGAGAGGUAUUUGGGGAGUCGAAUGAUGUUUUCAAAGUCGACUAGCACAACUAAUUUGUCGUCGUGUCGUUUUUCAUCUCGUCUAUAUCUAGUUGUGAGAACAUCGGGAUGAAUUCUGCUACUGGUACAUCGACGUGCAUAG